CGUUCUUUCCACUCACACAGGGAGAGGGUGCAGUUGGAGUAGGAGCUGGGGAAUGGCUGAGCACACCAGAAAAAGAAAGAAAGAAAAAGAAUGUAUUUUAUAACAGAUGUUACUGGUAAUGAAGCUGACUUAUUAAGAACUCCUGUGUCAGGCCAGGUGUGUCAGGUCUCUCUCUGGGUGUGGCAAAUAGCGGUGCACCUUGCCCCAGCUGCAAAUCAUUCCCCUUUGUGCUGCUGAAUCCAUUGGAUCUAGAGGUAACUAUUUAUUCUAUUUUUUGACUUUGUAACAGUUUCCCAGCUCAGCUUUUGGCA
Molecule: long non-coding RNA, 311 nt
Filed under: Zonotrichia albicollis (white-throated sparrow)
Lineage: Eukaryota; Metazoa; Chordata; Aves; Passeriformes; Passerellidae
Description: lncRNA (ENSZALG00000014582.1)
Source: RNAcentral